This 312-nucleotide ribosomal RNA is filed under the name Triticum aestivum (bread wheat). RNAcentral describes it as "partial small subunit ribosomal RNA". The record is from RNAcentral. Lineage: Eukaryota; Viridiplantae; Streptophyta; Magnoliopsida; Poales; Poaceae.
AUGGGACAAGGAAUUGGUGAUGGACCCAACCUAAAGAUCAUAAAAGAAGAGGUAGAAGCACGAACAACUCUACCGUGGUGUGCACAGCCGCUCCCCACACCCCCACCCCCCACCCGCCGCGCGUGUCGUGCGGGCGCCGACGAGAUGCCAUACACGCGAGGCAUCGGGGUGACCAAAGACAAUGUCCGCGCCUGGUGCACGGGGGUUGUUCUGUUCGUGCCGCCUCCUCCCCCCCUCCUCUCCGCAACAACGAGUACACAAGCGGCGCACAAGGUCUCUCCCAAGGCCGAGGUCCGAAGGGAUCAGGGGUAA